AUGACAAGCACUUUGAAAAGAGGGUGAAAAGAGCCUGAAACCGUUACGAGGGAAGCGGAUUGCGUUGGAAGGUGGAUACAUUUUCAGCCUUUAUGGUGCACUGAUGUAACCACGUGACUGCUGUGGCUUUUCUGUGGUUGAAAUUGAACUGCAGGGAGAGUGAGGGCUCCCCUUUAUGGGUGAGGACGGCGGUAACUAACGUGAUACGACCCGUCUUGAAACACGGACCAAGGAGUCUAGCGCUAUUGCGAGUCGAAGGGUUGAAACCCGUGGGCGUAGUGAAAGCGAGUUCUAAAAACGAGCAGUUUGGGGCGGUAUAAAAUCGUUGAUUUUAAGUCCGACCCGGAGCAAUUGUGCUGGGACCCGAAAGAUGGUGAACUAUGCCGGAGUAGGGCAAAGCCAGAAGAAAUUCUGGUGGAGGCUCGUAGCGGUGCUGACGUGCAAAUCGCUCGUCGAACUUGGGUAUAGGGGCGAAAGACUCAUCGAACCAUCUAGUAGCUGGUUCCCUCCGAAGUUUCUCUCAGGAUAGCGGGCCGACAAUCGUUGUUUUGUGC
RNAcentral lists this ribosomal RNA (554 nucleotides) under Hymenocladia usnea. RNAcentral describes it as "partial 28S ribosomal RNA". It matches the Rfam family "Eukaryotic large subunit ribosomal RNA", at positions 364 to 1006 of the family's 3401-position model. The record is from RNAcentral. Lineage: Eukaryota; Rhodophyta; Florideophyceae; Rhodymeniales; Hymenocladiaceae.